AUGAAUUUAUAACUACACAAAACCCACAAUAGCAGGCCCACAGUUUGGCAGCCCAUGUUUGCUAAAGACGACGGCCCAACGGAAUAUGAGAAGGCUUGUGGGAAUAGACAACUGUCCAGCCCGGCCCGGUCCGGCCCAAAACUUUGGAGGUUUGAACACCCGUCACCGCCAAUGCGCCAGCUGGAGCCUGGGGGUUCUCUCUCUUCAGCCUGUGUUCAACGCUAGCUUCGAACUCGAAGUUGCAAUGGCAGCAACUACCAGAUACUUGGUGGUUUCUCUUCCCGUUCAAACCUCCGUUUCUUCUCUCUGGAAUCGCUUACAGGAAGCCAUCUGCAAAUGUUCCUUCGAGACUACUCUUUACAGGUUCGUUAUCCCCGAUCUCCGCGUAGGAACCCUAGAUACUCUCUUAUCCCUCAGCGACGAUCUCUUCAAGUCGAACAGGUUCGUGGAAGGAGUGUCUCACAAGAUCAGGCUUCAGAUCGACGAGCUAGAGAGGGCGUCGGGCGUUGACGGCGGUGCGCUUACGGUGGAUGGAGUUCCGGUCGAUUCGUACCUCACAAGAUUUGUAUGGGAUGAAGCAAAGUAUCCAACGAUGUCGCCACUUAGAGUCGUCUUUGAUAGCAUUCUUGCUCAAGUGGUCAGGAUUGACGAUAGUCUCAAGGUUCGUGUUGGUGAGUAUAACAUCGUGGGAAAUCAACUUAACGCUAUAAUUCGACAGCAAAGUGGAAGCUUGGCUGUCCGUGAUCUUUCCAGUCUAUUAAAACCAGAGGACAUUGUUACCUCUGAACAUUUAGUGACCCUCCUUGCUAUCAUUCCCAAAUAUUCUCAGGAGGACUGGUUGCUAAACUACGAGACAUUGACUGACUACGUGGUCCCCAGGUCCUCCAAGAAGUUGCAAGAGGACAAUGAAUAUGCUCUCUACAAAGUAACCCUAUUUCGCCAUGUUGCUGGCGGUUUCAAAAUGGGAGCGCGUGAAAAAGGAUUUCAAAUUCGUGAUUUUGAAUAUAGUCCAGAAGCACAAGAGAGUCAUAAGCAGGAGCUAGAAAGGUUGACACGAGACCGGGAUCAGCUGAAAAGCUCUCUUGUGCAAUGGUGUCAUGCCAGUUAUGGAGAGAUUUUUAGCUACUGGAUGCACUUCUGUGCCAUACGUGUCUUUGUAGAGAGCAUUUUGAGAUAUGGUUUGCCCCCAUCUUUCGUGGCAUGUUUACUAGCUCCAUCCAUGAAAAGUGAGAAGAAAGUACAUGCAAUACUCGAAGGGCUUUGUAACAGCGUACACAGCAGACACUGGAAAUGUGAGGACGAGAAUGGGGGAAUUGCUGGGUUGGGAGGAGACCUUGAUGCCUACCCAUAUGUUUGCUUCCCCAUUAACCUCAUUUGAUACAAGCUAAGUGCCCUAUGCUUUGUUCACAAGUCAGCAUCAGACAUAAUAAGAAGUUGUAUUUACAUUUGCAGCUUUGAGCGGCGUUUACAAGAAUCACAAGAAAUUCAUGGGAAGGUUAACCCCUUUAGUAUAUAGUUUUAAUUAGUACAUGCAUGAAUUGACACUACCUGUCUUGAUUAGUUGCUGGAAGCUUAGUUUUCUUUUUUUCUUUUUUCUUUUUAAAAUAUAAUAAUAAAGCGGACUGACCCUAAUUUUUUCUCCCCCUUGUGAUUGUGACACCCUUAGCCUCGGAGUUCAAAAUUUUAAAAACUCAACAAUUGAUUAUAAUAAGGUCAGUUGGUUAUUUUCUUUAAUUAUAGGAUGGAGGCACGGUGGAGUGUCAAACACAGUCCAUUUUUUUUUUGAAAAUAAUACCAAAUGAUUUAAUUAUAGGGAGAUAGUGAAUUGUUUUAACCUUCUCUCUUCGAUCCUGACUCUGUUUCUCGUCGGAUCGACAAUCUGAGACCACCACGACGCUCAUGGGAAAGUUCUCUGCAAGUCUGUUGGAGCAAAUCGUUGGUGGAAGUGAUUCGAAUUACAUCCCAAUUUCAGGAUAAGACAUUUUAUUCAGUAUUUGCCUUUACCAUAGUUAUAUAAGAUGUUGUGCAUAGAAAAAUAGUGAUAUUCUGUUCUGAGAGAUGUUGUUUUCAAGGUGUUGAGUAGGGAACCCUGCAGGUGUAAGACCAGAGUACAGUAGGGGCUUUUCAAAAAUUAGGUAAGAGAAAUAUGCUAUGUUAGGGUAUUUUUAGAAAGUUUAACAGCAUAUUAUGUAUUUAUAUUUACAAGCAAGAUGAUUAGUUUAUUUUUCCAGAAUAUCACGAGUAUUAUUAUUUCAGAGAAAUUACAGAUAUGAAGUAUGAGAUUUUAACUACACAGUUGUGUGGCUUGAGUUUAUUAUAGUUUAGUAUGUUGGUUAUGCAAUUUACAUAUAUUCAAUUAUAUGGUUUAUUAGCAGAAAGUAAGAUUUAAAACAUUUGUCAGAAUAACAUGAUUUCUAAACCAUAGUAUUCAGACAGAAAUUACAGACAUAUAAAAAAGAAAUUACAAAUACUACAGACAGAUGUUACAUAUAUUACAGAAAGAUAUUAUAAAUAUUACAGAUAGAUGUUAUAGAUAUUUCAGAAAAAUAUUACAGAUAUUAUAGACAAAUAUUAUAGAUAUUUCAGAUAUUACAGUUCAUAUAUUAUAGUGUUAUGGUUGCUUUGAAAUUAUGUUAAAACAGUAAGAUAAAUAUAUAUAUAUAUAUAUAUAUAUUUAUAUAUACAGUAUUACACAGUAUCAGAUCCCUGUGGAUAUUACAGACAAAGAUAUACAGUAGAGCACGGUACCGUUGCUAUUAUAGACAGAGUGUAACCACAACUUAGAUAGUAUGUGAAUUCUAUCUAACCGUGUCAGGAGAGAUUGUAGUCUCGUCAGCAUGUUGGGUUGAAGGUGGCUGGUUAGACGAGAUAGAUUUGGAGAUUGGUUGGAGAGAUUGCAAUAGGCCAGAUUUACAGAUUGACAGAUGUUAGAGAUACAAAUUGACUUGCCUAGUAGGCCAACCAGAGUAAGUUCAGCCUACAGGCCACACAACCCUGUCAUGAGGGGAUAUAUCAUGACAUAUAGAUCGUAGGGUAUAACAAAAGUUCCUAUGUACGGAUAUAUCAUACAGCAGCAGUUUAUAUUAUCAUAUUAGCAGUAUGUACAAAUAACAAACUCAGAUACACAGUUGUAUUUUAAACUACAUUACAUAUAUUCUGUACAAUUUAUCAGCUUAUUCAUAUUACAGUUUCAGUGUUAUUUCAGUAUAUUAAAUGUGUAACUCAGCCGCCACACACUAGUAAUAGCAUACUUCCUCUUACUGAGCGUUGUCUCAUUCCAGUGACUUACUAUUUUUCAGGAGAUCCAGCUAGACGAGUAGACCAGACUCGCAAGUAGAGAUUAUUUUGCACUGCCACAUUGGAAGGGUAGAUGUUUAUUAGAUACCAGUGUUUUAAGUUGCCGGAUCGACGAUCUGAAGCCACCACGACGUUCCUAACGAAGUUCUCUUCAAGUUUGCUGGGGCGGAUCGUCGGUGGGAUCGAGUUGGAUUUCAUCCUAAAUUCAGGGGUGUUGUGUAGGAGGCCUUGCGGGUGUUAGACCAGUAUACCAUAGGGACUUUUCAGUAAUCAGGUGAUCCAGGUAGGCGAGCAGACCAGGCUCGCAGAUAGAAGGGCCAUAGUACUGUCCUAUCAGUAGAGAGAGUAUAUUUUUGGGAGUAAUUUUGUAUAACCCUAUCCAGUUGAGGAUAUUUCUAGGAAACAGUUAUAUAUGUAUAUUUUGGGAAACCUCUUAGCACUCUAGUAUUGUAUAAAAUAAUAUAUGGAUAUGUUUAUUUGA
Malania oleifera is the source of this 3778-nucleotide RNA transcript. It is a transcript of the gene named V-type proton ATPase subunit C-like, with no coding region annotated. The transcript is spliced from 14 exons. Lineage: Eukaryota; Viridiplantae; Streptophyta; Magnoliopsida; Santalales; Ximeniaceae. The record is from RefSeq and is a predicted model, not a curated record.